RNAcentral lists this ribosomal RNA (403 nucleotides) under uncultured bacterium. RNAcentral's name for it is "partial 16S ribosomal RNA". It matches the Rfam family "Bacterial small subunit ribosomal RNA", at positions 30 to 526 of the family's 1533-position model. The record is from RNAcentral.
AUUGAACGCUGGCGGCAGGCCUAACACAUGCAAGUCGAGCGAGCGGCGGACAGGUGAGUAAUGUAUGGGGACUGCCCGAUCGAGGGGGAUAACUACUGGAAACGGUGGCUAAUACCGCAUACUCUCGGAUGCCCCAUUUGGGAUUAGCUGGUAGGUAGGGUAAUGGCUCACCCAGGCGCCGAUCCCUAGCUGGUCUGAGAGUAUGAUCAGCCAAACUGGAACUGAGACACGGCCCAGACUCCUACGGAGGCAGCAGUGGUGAAUAUUGCACAAUGGGCGCAAGCCUGAUGCAGCCAUGCCGCGGGUAUGAAGAAGGCCCUCGGGUUGUAAAGUACUUUCAGUCGGGAGGCGUUACCGACAGAAGAAGCACCGGCUAACUCCGUGCCAGCAGCCGCGGUAAUUC